This 468-nucleotide ribosomal RNA is filed under the name uncultured bacterium. RNAcentral describes it as "partial 16S ribosomal RNA". It matches the Rfam family "Bacterial small subunit ribosomal RNA", at positions 28 to 507 of the family's 1533-position model. The record is from RNAcentral.
GACGAACGCUGGCGGUGUGCUUAACACAUGCAAGUCGAACGGUAAGGCCCUUUCGGGGGUACACGAGUGGCGAACGGGUGAGUAACACGUGAGUAACCUGCCCUCAUCUCUGGGAUAACAGUCGGAAACGGUUGCUAAUACUGGAUAUGAGCUUGCAAGGCAUCUUGUGGGUUGGAAAGAUUUUUUUUGGUUGGGGAUGGACUCGCGGCCUAUCAGCUUGUUGGUGAGGUAGUGGCUCACCAAGGCUUCGACGGGUAGCCGGCCUGAGAGGGCGACCGGCCACAUUGGGACUGAGAUACGGCCCAAACUCCUACGGGAGGCAGCAGUGGGGAAUAUUGCACAAUGGACGGAAGUCUGAUGCAGCAACGCCGCGUGCGGGAUGACGGCCUUCGGGUUGUAAACCGCCUUCAAUUGUGACGAAGCUUUUUUGUGACGGUAGCAGUAGAAGAAGCACCGGCUAACUACGUG